GGCAUUUGAAGGUCCGGUUGGGUCGGUGGUGGCUAAGGGCGUGGGCGUUGGUGACAGUCAUGGGUUGGAAUCGUGCUUUGUAACUUAUUAGCUAUGUGGCCCUGAGAAAGUCGCUGCACCUCUUAGAGCCUCAGUUUCCCUGUCUGUAGAACGGGCUCAUCGCCUGCUCCACACUGUUGCUUUGAAAAGGAAACGCACGCAAGUGCUUGAGCACAGCAGCUGGGCCGAUUUUGAGCUCAAAAUACGGUAGCGAUCAUGAUGAUUGCAUCGUGAAGAUAAGGAAAUGACAAGUGCUAUCCGUGCCUGGUGGUAACUCAGUGGGGAGCUCUUAGCACAUCAAAAAGGUAUUUAAAACACAACCCCCCCCCCCCCCCAACAAUUAGCUCUAGGAAGAAGAGUAAAUAUGGACGCAAUUUAUCACUCGGAGCGCCCUGCUAUCAGAGACAGAUGCCGUCAGUUAAAUAAAACAGACCCGAAGACCUGCCAGAAAGAUCAACCCGAGAAACAAUUGGCUAAUUUGCUGAUCGGCAGUGGACAGUGGGCCUUUGGUGACACACACACCAGUCAUAUCUUUCUGCUAAUUCUUACCCGAGUUACACGUUGCUUUUUGCACCCAGAGGGAGAAGAGACACUGAGCGUCUUUAACCGAAAAACGUAACAGAGGUAGGUCCAACCCUGCAAAAGCCGUACGACUGCGGCUUUACUGCAACGGGCCACCAGACAUCCCAGUUCGCCGGGGACCGUGGUUCUCCCCGGGGACGUAGGGCGUUCAGCGCCCAAUCCCGGACAAACAGGGAUGGUGGCCCCAGGUGCGAGUGACAGUCAACCCCAGGGGGAAGCAACAUUGGGUCAAAGCUGGCUUGUGCCUAGCCUUGAAGAAAUCCUACCUGCCCCCAUAUGGCAAAACAGACCGUGAACCCAUUAGCAGUAAGAAUGUGGGGUCACGUGGGACCUGUGCGGGAGGCGCACCAGCCAAGGUAAAAGUCCAGGGAGACCUCGGAGAGGCGAGUGCGCAGGGGGGGGCCGGAAGAGGAUCUUGGACAGACAGCUUUUCGCUUCGCAGAGCCCUGCUGAUGCAAAACCGCGGAGCCCGGCCUCGCUCAUCGGACCCCAGAGCCUCCGCCCCUUCCUCAGGAUAUAUCCGAGCGUGUGCUGUGUAAUCCGGGGCCGUAUCCACGAAAUGCACAUAAUUCUCCCCCUUCAGCUGUUGCCACUGCUUUCUGAGACUCCGUAUAUAAAUAUCUGUGCGUGUGCGUUUGUGUGUACAUUUCCUGACAUAUUUACGAAGUCUCAGUUUGCCAACCUUUGGGGCAUAAUGCAAGAACUAUUUUUCAUCCUAA
Long non-coding RNA from Herpailurus yagouaroundi (jaguarundi), 1340 nucleotides. RefSeq lists it as uncharacterized. Lineage: Eukaryota; Metazoa; Chordata; Mammalia; Carnivora; Felidae. The transcript has 2 exons. The record is from RefSeq and is a predicted model, not a curated record.